AGCGCGAAAAACAAACUUCAAAGUAGCGCUACGCGUUCAGUGGGAGGCGUGGAUGACGAGCGGCGAUAAACUUGCGAAAAGCAAGUUAUGCUCAACUCCACCAGUGGAUUCUGACAGCGUGGAAAAGUGUGAAAACAUCCACGAUCACCAACGGAUUUCGAAGGGCUGGACUGCUGCAUGAUGGAGAGGAGGACACCGCCACGGCCCUUCUGAGGGUGUUCGACUCCGACACUGACAACGAGGAUUUGUUUGGUUUUGAAAGUGACAAUGAAGGAAAAAAGCUGAGAAUGGAUGACGUAGCCAUCCUGAGCCUGUUCGUAUCCGACACUGGAGAAGAGGACUUUGGUGGUUUUAGUGCGCAGGAAGAUGGUGGUGAAUGACUGACUUUUCUUCUUGUUAAAGCCGUGUCACUGCACCUGAGCCUAAAAGUUUCCCAGCAUGCCUCAGGUGUGAAGGUGUAUGAGGGGGUGAAGUCUGUCCUGCUGCCCUGUCAGGUACCAGCUGAUGUUUCCAGGAGCUCCACAGCAGUAGUGUGGGACUACGAUGAGUUCGACAACCCAACAGUCCACGUGCGUCUGCAGAGUGGAGAUGGGCUUAGAGGUCAAAACAAUCGUUACACCAACCGAACAUCAAUGAGAGCCGACGCUCUGCAGACUGGAGACCUCAGCCUUACUCUGAGGAACCCUACUUUCUCUGACAGUGGUAACUACACCUGCAUCAUCAAAAAAAAUAAACAACAGCUGAGCCGGACAAAAGUACAGCUGAGGGUCAAAGAACCUCCACUCUGGCCCUGGGUCCUCGCAGUUACACUGCUUAUCCUGGUUCUCGUGAUUGUUGCCUUUGGCGUCAUCCUGUAUUGUGAACGUAAAAGAUUUAAGGCUGUAGAAGCUCAACUUCUUAGUGAGCGAUUGCUGAGACGUCUUCACGUGCUGUUUGGAAAAAGAUGACUCCUUUCCUUUGAUGGAAAAUUGCACAGUUUGAUGGGGCUGUUGGUCCGAAUGAAGAACAAGGAGCUGAUGGAUGAGGAGAAGACGAUGAAGCUCACACCUCCGCCCUGACAAGAUCAUGUAUAUUUCUGCUGCUCAGUGAAGCUCGGUGACGGUCUGAGAACACGAGCUUGAAGAUGUCUGUUCUUCUUUUACUAACUGCUAACUAAUGAGCCUCAGAGAGAUGUUCUACCUGGAACAUGUUCCACACGGCAGGUUCCCUGUAACGUUAUGUCUGCAGAAUGAGAUUAAGCACAGAGGACAGAGUGUGAGAGGAAGAGGUUCACCAGUGUGACAGUAAAGAUUCAUUCAAACAUUCACACCAGGCUCAGACUCUUUCUCUAACCUUAUAACCUCAUAAUCAUGAUGAUCCAGAGCGUGUUGUUCCUCAGACCAAAGCUGCUGUCAGGAACCAUCAGAGAAGAUCAGCUUGCAGAGAAGAAUAUUAUGUCUGUCAUGAUUAAAUAGGAAGUCGUCCCAAAGGACAGCAGACUGAAACUUGAUUAAUAUAAACUGACUUGUAUUUAUGCAGCAGCAAAUCCAAAACAUAGAGGGAAAACAGAAAAUCAAAAAUCCAAACUACAGCAGCAAGAAACAAAAGAAUCAGACCAAACAGCUUAGCCUGACAAAGAUUUAACAGGAAAAUGUGACACAGGUGAGAAGGCUCAAACUAAUGAGACAGAGGGAAACUAAACACAAUGCACAAACUACACAGUCUACGAAGUCAAACAGGAGGAAAGAGAACACAGGGACGCUGAGACAGAAGAGCAAACUACCAAAGACUGACUUCACCUGUGACACUAAAGGAUCAAACAUAGACGAGACAGGGACAGAUAUGGAGACACAGAGGCAAGAAAAAUAUAUAAAAUAUGUAUAAAAAUAUAAUGAAAUCAGAAAAUGCAACAAAAAGACAAAUGUGAAAACGCUGGGUCAACAAUUCAGGAACCAUGACAGUGUCAGUACUGCUCCGUGGACCGGCUCACUUUAUUGUCUGCUUCAUCUCCACAUGAAACCUAUGUGCUCAUGAAUUGUGCUUUUUAAUUCUUCCAUUGGAUAUUUUUGACGAAGCUGAUGGUGUCUGAGCUGUUUCUCUUCUUCAUCUUAAUAAGAACAGAUUAUCUGAGGGCUUCAGGUCAGGAGAGCUGGCCAACCGACCAAACGCUGUAAUAAGCUUUUGCUUUAGUGUGUCUGUGAGCAGCUUUUUAAUAAAGACUGAAUGAAAAGUGGAGUCAGUUUGAUUUGUGCACACGAACAUCACAGACCCCCAUCUGGGCUCAGAACGUCCAAUCAGAGCACGAGAAACG
Pelmatolapia mariae (spotted tilapia) is the source of this 2290-nucleotide RNA transcript. It is a transcript of the gene named myelin-oligodendrocyte glycoprotein-like, with no coding region annotated. The transcript is spliced from 4 exons. The record is from RefSeq and is a predicted model, not a curated record. Lineage: Eukaryota; Metazoa; Chordata; Actinopteri; Cichliformes; Cichlidae.